Mauremys mutica (yellowpond turtle) is the source of this 1698-nucleotide long non-coding RNA. RefSeq lists it as uncharacterized. NCBI's taxonomy places the organism in Eukaryota, Metazoa, Chordata, Testudines, Geoemydidae. The record is from RefSeq and is a predicted model, not a curated record. The transcript is spliced from 11 exons.
GAUCUAAAAGAGGCCAGUCAUGUCUCCAAGUUCUCCUGGAGUAGUUCCUACUAUUUAAUAGGCACAUCAAGAAGGAGUUAAGGAGAUGUCCUGUUGUACCUAAAUAUUGGAGAAAAUACAGUAUAAGACUAAAUAUAAGAAAACUGAGUGGACACCUCAGCAUUAAACAAGGACGCUAGAUGUGGAUGUAUAUAUUUUUCAGAUUUACCGGAAUUCAGUUGUGUUCUUCUGGCUAGCUGGCAGUGCACUUGGUGUAGAGCUUCUUCCUAUUGGUGGCCAUAACUAACACAAGAGACUGUUAUGUGUUUCCAGGGGGCGUGCAAGCCAAGUCAUCACUGGGACAGAGCUGUCAUCACCUGAUCCUGAGGUCCACUCCUCCUUACCUGUGGGUUCCACCUACCUGGACCAGUCCGGAGCUGUCCUGUCGUCGUGAGCAUCCUCAGAGCUGCAAGACAUGGUCAGCUCCAUUCCUGGAGCUGGGCCAACGCUCCAUUCCCAAAUAAACUGCCUCCAUGACUGAAGCCUUCAGAAGAACUGAAGAAGCCCAGAAGCUAUGCAGUUGCUGAGGUUUAUUAUUCUGAGGUGCCUCCUCACGACGCCUGGGCUGCUGCCACAAAAACUUAAUUUUGGAAACUGAGGAUUGAAGUGUUUAUUUGGAGGGGGAAAAAGAGAUGCAUAAAAUUGCAUGGAUUUUGGAAAAACAGCUGAAGAAAAAAGCUAUACAAGAGGAUUGCGUGGUCUUGUGUGGUUUUGAGAUGGGCAUCACAUGCUAUAAGUAUACAAGUAUACUUAGCAUGCUUCCUGGAUGCUAGCAAGCAGGGGAGUUGAGCGGGAGAUCCCCCGCUGAAGAAUGAGCAAUCACUACUUCUUGGGGUUUCAAAAGGAACACAUAAGAGCAUGAGAUGUUGUAGAUAUAGGAUGGCUCAUUCAAAUGUGAUAUUAUCCAUUACUCAUCCAGGGAACACCCGGUAAAAAAGGGACCCUGGUGGCUCCGGUCAACACUGCUGAUCCAGCCGCUAAAAGUCCCAUCAGCGGUGCAGAGGGACCAAGGCAGGCUCCAUGGCUCCUCUGGCUCCACAUGGCUCCUGGAAGUGGCCACCUAAGGACUGCUCCUAUGAAGAUGCUCCAUAAAGUUUGUUUCUGAACAAACUUGAUUCUGUCACUCUGAGAGGAAAAGAGAGCAACCCUUCAUGACUGUGCAAGAGUUUAGCACUGGUACCUGUGUAGCUCCUACUUUAAAAUACAUCUGCAAUGGAGAAUCCACCAGGCCGUAUCUGAUCAUGCCAAGUUUCCCUGAACGAUUUGAGUUCCAGAGAACAUUUGCCUUUGACUCUGUUCCUCAAGAUAUAGGACAGAUCGGGUUAAAACCAGCUCCUCCAAAAACAUCUUCUCCUAAAGAAACUGAAAAAGCUAGUCAGUGUCAGUGUAUAUGAAUACAUGUUCACAUUACAACAGUUGUUAUAUUGUGUUGUAGAAAGUAGUUGGAAAAUAAGGACACAAUAUAAGGUAGCUGCAAGAAAUAAAUAUUAAUUCAUUGCAAAGGGACUAAAAGGAAGCAGAAUACUAUGAAAUACAGGUAUUCCAUUUCACCCUGUGAGUAGAGUAUAUGUAACUCUAAAAGUUUAAAGCAUACCGUAUCUUGGUAAGUAAAGAUUUCCAUUGUACAGAGCUCCUUCACAAAUAUAUGUAUAUAUAUUA